CCAAGAUGACAGUUCACCCCAUUUCUUUCUCCCCGGGAGGGCUGGCCCUGUGUAUGUCAGGCAGCUCCCCAGGCUGGGACCGUCAGCUCUUACUCACUCUUCCCGAGGAGAAGCUUAAUUAGCCUCCCAGCAGCCAGGAUCACCCCAGAUGAAAGGUGCUGAAUGCGAGUAUAAGGUGUGACCCCCCAUAUUUAUAACCGAGGCUCCCUUAGGUGAGAAAGGCCGGGGGCGGAGAGGCAGACCAGAUCAGGGCCUUGCCUUGUUUAUGACAGAGGUUCUCAGGAAAAGGAGCUGGCUGUGGAUCCUGGACUCCCUCGACAAUCGGCAGCGCUUGGUGGGCAGCUGCGGGCACCCAGUCUUCUCCACACAGCACCCAGGACAGAGAGAGAUCAGCCGCUGAGGCAGGUAACGCUGAUGCAGUCAGAGAUGGGGACAAAGGGCAGGUCUGCGGCACAGGACUCUUGAUCCACGUCUGGCAAAGCAGAUGCCGCAAGAACUGUCCUUGUCCCCUUGGAUCCUGCUGGGACUCCUGAAGUUGGGUCCAGUGAGGCCAAGAAGUGCGGAGCCACCAGGCUCAGGACAGUUGCCGAGGCUGCUCUCUGAGCUCAGCUGGCAUUUCCUGGAGCCCUUCCAAGUGCCCGAUGAGUGAGCGUUUUACAGCCGAGGUGACUUGGGACAAACAAGCAACACCAAAGAGGUCACAGCGAGUUCAUAGCAGGAAAGAGAUGUGGACGAUGUGAAUCUGUUCCCCAGAUGGCCUCACCUGGCACCAUGGCGAGGAAGAAGGGAGAGACGUCGGCUCCCUCACCUCUGAUGUCACUUCUCCAGCACAUGUUCCCAAGUAGGGGUGAGGUAGUCUAGUCACCGUGUGGCUUCGGAGAUGACAUUCUCGGGAAUUCUAGCCCCUGCCAACCGUGGGCAUUGACACUCCUGGAGCAGGCCAGGGAAGGAGUGCGGUUUCCAGCCAACAGCCCUGCGCAGCACACUGGGACCCACCAGUGGAAGGGCCGCUCGGUCAUCAGGCAAUCAUGAAGACCUUCUUUAUGCCCAGAGCCCUGUAGUCCCUAAUUGAGGGACCUCCAUUCCCGGGACAGAAGCGGGUGCUGAGCCAGGGAGCAGGGCAGUGGGAGUUCCCAAGAGCCAACGACAACAAACCCGUGCUCACAAAGGCAGUGGUGGGCACCACCUCACACAGGGUGCCCCUCACCUCAGAGGAAAGGAUCUGUAGCCUCAAGGAUGCUAAGAUGUGAGUGGCCCUGCCAACGCUCAGCUUCAGUGCCGCACAACCUGUUACACCUGCCUAGGAUGUCCACUUGGCGAUGCCCAGACAAGAUGGUGUGCGCUGUCAGUGUACCCUGUUCAGGCCACGUCUCUGCCUGGGGCUGGAAAUUCAUUUCAUUCAUUCAUUCAAUGCCAGUCGCUCUACCAGGCAACGAGGAUAAAAAGACCGCAUAUAAUAACAAGUGCUUAGUCGCUGUGCUCUAGAGAACUUAAAACAGAGCAAGGUUAGGGGUGUCAUUCUGGUAGAACGCUUGCAUGGUGUGUGAGAGCCCUGGGUUUGACCCUCAGCGCUGAAAAAAAAAAAAAAGAAAGAAAGAAAUAGCUAAGUAUUAAGGUGGCAUGAGGGCCGGACCAGCAACGGCCACAUGGCAUCAGCAGGGCAGUACCCAACCUGGGGGCAGCUGUAGCUGGUAGCUGCAGCUUGCCUCCCACAAGCCCCCACCACCUAUCUCAGGCCUUCUCCUCCAAAGCAGGCGCCCCUGUCUGCACCACUACCUAUACCAGUACCUGGAAGGCAGGCGGCAUUGCCCAGCCAACGAAUCAGAGAGGGGGAGAAGGUGUGCCACCACAACUCACCAGGGCCCCCUGUCGUCACUCCAGGAGACAGUGCGGGCCGCUGGGCUGAGCUGAAUGGCCAGGGGCUCUCUCAGGAUGGACCGCUGUCACCAUUCCCUCACAAUAGAGCUCUAGCCGGGUUCUAAGCAUGUAUGUCUUAAACUACGAAGAUUUUACUCAUGACUUUCCCAAGGCCACGGGGCUAGCGUGCGGAGGAUUUGCACUGCGGUCUGGCUCACCCCAGAGUUUCACACACACAGUUCAACACAUCCCCCAAGCAAGCCAGCAUCUGUUUUCCUAAAGGAGCCCACAAUGGUCCCCUGUGUGCUGCGCAGGCUCCGAGCCAGGCUGCCUACCAAGGAGUAAAGGACGCAAUCAUCCGACACAGACUCCCUACCCCAGCCAUGCUCCUGCCUCUCCCCGUCUCCUGCCUGGUCCUCACCAGUCUGUGCACCGACAGGAAGGCCUUCCUGCCUCCAGGAAACUCACAGAGGGUCUGGAGGGAGCUGUCCCCACUGGGUCCAAGUGGGUAGACUGGGCCUGGAGAAGGAAGGGAAAUGGAUGGGGGGCUCUAGGUUCUGGUGGUCAGUGCGCCUCAGCUAGGGAUGAAAUGAACCCUUCAAGCCCGCUCACACCUCCAGCAGCUGGCCUGGGGAACUGCCAUGACAGAGGGCUGAGGGAGCAAGCCAGGUCUUGCUCCAGGUACCUUGACUGACCUGAGGAAACCCCGGGUGCUCCUCAGGGAAUCAGGCAGAGGGAUUGGGGUGCGUGGGAAGGUGGCUGAUUACCAUCUUCCAUUUCAGGUCUGGGGUGGAGUCACCUGCCUGAGCAAUAUAAGCUUGUUGUUUAGCCUCGAUGAGCCCCUGCCUGCCCUGGGCACACCAGGGGUCAGGCGGGGUAACAAGUGGGCCAAGCAAAGCCAGGACAUGGUCUCUGAGAGGCCCACCAACCUCAGCUCCACUCUCUGGCUUCCAGCUGAAACACUUCACACGCAUCGAUCCUGAAGCCGCUCUUCAAAUUCCCUCCAAGAUGAGGAAACUGAGGCCCAGAGAGAGUGGAGAAAUGUGCCCGUGGCCAUGUGGGUCAGCGAGGAUGUGCAUUUGGUGCCUCUGACUCCAAAAGUUUUGUCUUUGACGCCCACGUAGAGCUUCUCUGGUCACAGUGCCCAACAUCAGGAUCAGCGAUUGUGGGAGGGAGGAGGGACUUUCCCCUAGCACCCAAGUAGAUGGAUGAGUGAGUGGAGAGUGGCUCAGGGCAUUAGUGAGUGGAUGAGGGCACCGGUCCCUGGAUGAGUAUAUCGGUGAGCAGGUGAAGUAGGUCAGUGAAUAGAGCAUAUCAGGGAACGGGCAAAUGAGUGAUAGUCAAAUGGCUAAUGGUUCAGAGCAGAACAGAAGACAAGGGGCAGGAGGCUAAAUGGCUCUUCUAGAGACAGAAAAAAAAAACAAAAAACAAAAAAAACCCGGCUCCUCUGUCAAAUGGCCUUUUGGAGAGAUGCAAGCAGGAACGUGCCUUCUGGGAAAGUGCGUGGCUCUUUGGUGUGCUGUCUCACUAGGGAGACUAUCCCUACACUUCCCUCCCUUGAAAUAAGCCUCCAGAAAACAGACGCUGGGGACCCAGGGGCCCUGUGCACUCCCAUGGUCACUCGGCGAUGGGCUGGGUCAGUCAAUCAUUGACAGGCCUUUGAGAGCUCCGUUGCUUAAGAGGACCCUGGAAUUGACCCGCUCACCUCUGGCAGGGAGGGAAAGAGGAAGGAGAGAUCCAUUGCAACCAUGUGGUGGCUCACAACCGUCUAUAUUGAGAUCCAGCGCCCUCUUCUGGCAUGCAGGUGUACAUGCAGGCAGAAUACUGUAUACAUAAUAAAUAAAUGGAGCCCAUGUACGAGGAACAAGGGGAGUGGAACUCAAGGUUGAUUGUGGGAGCUAAAGGGCACACAGAGAAGCCCCUCUCUCCCCGGGGCCAGAACCAGACAACUCCGGGAGAAACCGAGAAAGCAAGGGGCAGCUACUGAUUAGCCAGUGGAUCCCUGAAGAACAAGUUCCAAAUUCUGUUCCACUCCGAGACCAAGAACGACAAGAGAGUCCUGGAGAGGAGUGAAAAUGCCUUCUGUCGACCACUAUAGAUUCUUUAGCUGGGUGGAAGACAGAGUAACAGGAGAGAAAUCAUAUUUAAUCUAACGUUUGCACAUAGUCACACACAAACUGUGAGACUUGAACAAGAGUCCCAUGACUUGAGUUUACAUGGCAACCUGAGCCCCAGAAGGGAACCAGGAUUCGGGGUGCCUGGGAGACAGCUGACACGCUACAAGAGCCAGAGGCGGAACUGCAGCUUGAGGAGCAUUUGUCUUGUUAAAAAGAAAGUCGCUCUGCCCAAAAAGUCUGGAAUAGCCCCUUCCGGGGUACCUGCCAAUGUAUUGCCAAUGUAUGGUCAUCAAUUUCUUUCAGGGCCACUCCUGCGCCUGUAGUCUCUCAGGAUAAGUCACUCAAAAUAUGCCAGAGAAGUAUAUUCAGGGGUGGCAUAUUCGGGUCUCCUACCCUCAGGCUUUGAGCGAAGUCUCAUGACCUUGGCCCAGAUGUGGUCUGGCACAAUCCUCCCAGUAGUGAGUUGUUGGGACAUACCAUAUGAUCCAGUGGGAUUACAAAGGGUCCAGGGAGGCCACCAAAGGCAAAUUCCCCGGGGAUGAACUGAGCCAGAGCUUUUUUAUACUUCUGUUCCCAAAUGAAGACUUCGGGGCUAGCAGAGGUGACCCGCGCCCUCUAGUGGCCACUUUCCACACAGGCCGAACGGGGCUUCCCUACCCACAAUCCCAGGGAACGGGGUGGAUUGGAGGCUCUGCCUCUGUGUGCUGAGGUGAGUCCGGAAAACAAAGAACAGAGUCUACUCAGAGAUACGAAGAGCAGAACAUCAGCCAUCACCGGCACGAUAGGACAGCGAGAAGUGCAGAAGGCGUCUCUUAGCCAUUCGGCUCCCCAGCAGUAGAUGAAGAAGCCCUGGUGGGAAAGAGAUUCUCAGCCCCGCCCACAGGACGAGGCCUCAGUGCUCAGCAGCCUCAAGCUGGUUGUGGGUUUUGGUGAGACCGUGGUUCCUCAGACAGCGGUCAGCAGCGAUGGGUCAGCAGCGAAGAGGUCUGUUUUGUCCUUCCCCGGGUCUUGAAGGGCUGUUGAAAGGGGAUCUAUUAUUUAAAACUGGACGCUGCAGGGCAGUGGUGGCAGGAGGAGGUAGGUGGAUCUCUGUGAGUUCGAGGACCGCCUGAUCUACAUAGAGCAAGUUUCAAGACAGCCAAGCUACACAGAGACACCCUGUUUCGAAAAACCAAACCAACCAACCAAGCAAGCAAACAAACAAACAAAAAAACUGGGCUACACUAGGAGCUCAGAGCUGAUCACAUCACCUGGGAAUAACUGUAGAGCCUGACAGGCCUGAGAUCAGAGGACGGUCAACCGCUGCUGCCACGGUCACUGCCAUGGCAACUGAGAACUCAAAGCCUCCGCAGCCCUGUCCCUCUCCUGGGUUGUUUAUUACUCAUCCGCUUUGAAGUUAAGUCCUGACCACGCUCAGCUCUUUGUCUGCCCCUCCUUUCCCAGUGCGCUCAGGAGAGAGCUUCUGACCAGAACAGCAGCCAGCACAGGACUCGCAGCCUUCACAGUCACAGACUGCAAGGCUGGGUGUGGCCGGCAAAGGGUCCCGGUUCACAAGGAAGGGGAAAUGCCGGAGUGGCACAACUCUAGAGGACGCAUCUGUCAGACGCCUGAACAUCGGCAUAAAUCACAGGAAAGACAGGAGUCUUCAGGUACAACUGAACCCUUCCGGCGCCUUCACCUGGCAGAUCCCAACUACAGAGCAUCCAGAACAAAGCGGCUCCAGUACUUCAUCUGUGUUGUUCCCCUCUGCUCCACGUCUCACCCUUUUUCUUUUUAUUAUACUGUCAGCAGUGUUUUGGCUUUUUUUUUUUUCCUUUUCUUUUACAUUGUGUGUGUGAAAGACAGAGAGAGAGGAAGGGAGGGAGGAAGGAAGGAAGGGAGGGAGGGAGGGAGGGAGGAAGGAAGGAAGGAAGGAAGGAAGGAAGGAAGGAAGGAAGGAAGGAAGGGAGAGAGAGAGAGGGAGACAGAUCCCUGGAACUGGAGUUAUGGAGGGUUGUGAGCUACCUUGUGGGGGUCUGGGGAUCAAACCUGGGUCCUCUGUGAGAGCAGCUGGUACUGUUGUCAACCACUAAGCCAUCUCUCCAGCCCUCUUGGGAGGUGUCUUUUAUUAAAUCUCUUGCUUUCUCCUCUUUCUCUUCAUACCAUUCCUCUCUCCUAUCCAUCGCCCUUUCUCUUAUUAAACCCUCUCCUUACGCUCCCCUCUCCUUACCCCUAUACUUCAGGACAUUCAUUUGAUGUUUAUGUGUGUGUGUGUAACUUUUAGUUUCAUAGUGCACUCUCCAUUGUUUUCCGCAGUUCCUGUGGUCAUUGGUGCUGUAUUAUUGGGCUUUAAUGGUUUUUAAACGUGUUUAUCUUUUUUGUUUUGGUGUCAUUGUUGUUAUAACAGUUUAACCAUCUUCUCUCAGUGGUCCCGGGGACUGAGUCUUCAUGGGGACAUUUCUGAAUAAAACUGAAAAAGAUAACUAACCGACAGACGAACAAACGACAAUACAGAGAGCCAGACAGUGGUCACACCUUUAGUCUCGAUACUAAUGAGUAUAUAUAUCAUAUAUUACAUAGUAUGUACAGUUAGAGUAUACAGCUUAUAGUAUAUAGUGUGUGUUUAGUAUAAUAUAUGAGCAGCACAAAUUGGACUUGGUGGGUUUAUAUUUUUUAAGUUGGAAGAGUAUGGAGAGUGUGGUAUGUGGAUUUUGGAGAGUUAAGGGGAGGAAUGGAGGGGGAAUAUUAUCCAAAAGGUUGUAACUCCUCAAUUACUGAACACAAAGACACUAAAAUGGGUGCAAUUCUUGGUGAAGAAUUACAAUACCUGUAAAAUGAUUAGUGACAUCAAAGAGGACACAACCGAGCAGGUAAAUGAAGAAAAUCUAUUGUAUUGGUAUGUACAUGGGCUACAUAUACCAUACAUGCACACUCACAAUGAUAAUUAAUAAUUAAAAAUUAAAAAUUAAAGCUAUACAAUAAAAACACCAACUCACUCACAAAAGCAAACCCAUCAGAAAAACAUCAGGAAGCAGGAGAUGCUCAUGAGCCCCCACCCCUGCCUGAGGAGUUAUUGAUAGUUGGUGGCUGUCUGGGGAGAGAGAGUCAGUUUUCCUAAGGGUGUCACCCUAGGUGGUCAGCCAUGCUCUGUAACCAAAUGAAAACGAAAGCACAGCCAGAACCUUUGAGCUAUAGGAGAUAGCUCUAAGAGGAAAGUUUUUAGUUAAUGAGUGUUUGUAUUAAAAACAAAACAAAAAGACAAAGCAGGGGCUGGAGAGACGGCUCAGCUUAAGGUUGUGUGCUUCCUGCUUUUCCAGAGAACCCAAGCUAAGUUCCAAGUACCCAUAUCAGGCGGCUUACAUAUCUGCCCAUAACUCCAGACUGAGGUAAUACGAUGGCCUCUUCCGGCCUUUGUGGGCACCCACACACAUGGCAUACACUCACAUAGAUAUAGUCACAUACACAUAAAUAAAAUAAAUCAUCUCACGUUGUUGUUGGUUAUUCCUGAAGAUGCCCACGCCUUGGUCAAAGGAUAUAGACAAACCAAGUUGGAACUGAGCUGGAAACUUCCUUUCUUCUGGCUAGCCGUCAUCACAGUGCCAGAAGGUGUAAAAAUAACUUCUAUCCACCUGUUUCAAUUGUUGCCUGAGAGACUUACUACCUUCUUCUAACUAGACCUAGUCCUAGAAGCUUCUAUCCUCUGUACCAGCUAAGGUAGGCCUAAAAUGUUUUCAGCCUCUGAGACUUACUGCUUAAUAAGCUCACUCUUUCUAAUUCCUUCCGAACUUGCUGGCUGGUUCAACUCAGCUGUUCUAGCUCAAACUCCUCUCCCAGCUGACUUACUCAAUCUGGCUUUUCUCUAGGCCUCUGAAUUGUUCUGCUCGGCCUUAAACUAACUCCAGCCAUCUGUUCUAAUCUCCUGUCUCCUUUUUAUUUCUGUCCCAGUAAAACUCUUCCUCUCUCUAGCAUUACCCCUUACGUAGCUUCCCCACUCUCUUCGCCUGUCAAAGUCUUUUUCUGGUUCGCCACUGUUUCUGCCACUCAAUUGGAGAGCACUUUCAUACACAGUGCUUCCUUCUGCAAACUACUUUGCCUUCGUUGCUUGAGAUUAAAAACAUGUGCCACCACACCUGGAGCUAAGCUUUUCUUUCCCUGAAACACUAUAAAAAAACUCUAUACCAGGCUGACUUCAAACUCAGAUCUACUUGCCUCUGAAUCCUGGAUUAAAGAUGUGUUUGUAUUCCAGCUGGAUCACACAGACCUAGGAGAUCUUUGGGUGUGAUCUCUUGCCAGAGCACCAUGUUCUGAAUUAAAAUUCCUCUCUAAGAAAGUA
Long non-coding RNA from Meriones unguiculatus (Mongolian gerbil), 8286 nucleotides. RefSeq lists it as uncharacterized. The record is from RefSeq and is a predicted model, not a curated record. NCBI's taxonomy places the organism in Eukaryota, Metazoa, Chordata, Mammalia, Rodentia, Muridae. The transcript has 3 exons.